AACCAUUAUGCUAUACUUCCGAUCAAAAUUAGAUUUAGAUGUUUAUAUAAUCAAAAUAAAUCGUGAAAAACAAUGUUUUUAUUCCAUCAAGUUUACAUAUUUUUUAAUGCCUUUGAACAUCGAAGUUCAUGCUUUUUCAUGCCAGUUCAUGCCUGAAUUUUCACAAAAUCUAUUUAAUUACUUUUCAUGCUUUUUAAUGACCCGGGAAACCCUGGUUUAGUUAAAUACUG
Long non-coding RNA from Sander lucioperca (pikeperch), 230 nucleotides. RefSeq lists it as uncharacterized. Lineage: Eukaryota; Metazoa; Chordata; Actinopteri; Perciformes; Percidae. The transcript is spliced from 3 exons. The record is from RefSeq and is a predicted model, not a curated record.